Long non-coding RNA from Lactuca sativa (garden lettuce), 881 nucleotides. RefSeq lists it as uncharacterized. NCBI's taxonomy places the organism in Eukaryota, Viridiplantae, Streptophyta, Magnoliopsida, Asterales, Asteraceae. The record is from RefSeq and is a predicted model, not a curated record.
UACAUCCUCGUUGACGUACAUCAUGUGAUAUUCCUCCGGUGUGGAGUUAAGAAUUUGGGGGUUUCUUUCAAGAAGCAAGUAAAAUGUACAGCAACUAAAGUUUACUUGGUCUCAAAUUCUUCUUGCCCAGGUUCCAAUGGCUCCAAAACAGCCAAACACAGGACUCUUUGUGGGUCUAAAUAAAGGGCAUGUUGUCACCAAGAAGGAAUUAGCACCUCGUCCUUCCGACAGAAAAGGGGCUUAUCAAGAUAUUCUCUAGCUUUGAGAGCUGCAUAAGGCUAAUGAUUAAAAAAAGAAAAAAUGGAGAUUCUAAAGAUCAUCAUCCAAAUGCACCAAAAUUUAGAGUAAGAUCGAACCACUAUUAAUGAAGGUAUUCUACUGGGCUAGGAUGCUUGUUGUUUGGAUAUGGAGCCAUGGAAGAACUUGGACCCUUCCGUGUUAACAGUGAUGGAAAAACACUCUACCCCAACCACUAUGCAUGGAACAAUGGUGCAUGCCUAACCCUAUAAAACCUUUGCUUUUGAGGUACUAACUGUUUUCUCCUGGAAUUUUUUUUGCCUGAGAUUUUUUGCUGCCAGCUAUCCCUUCGGGACCACUCUUAUGUAUUAUGUUAAAAGCACCAAUUCAGAAAUUUGCUGAUUAUGUAAGUCAGCUUUCCUCUUCCUUUUUGCUUUUUAUUAUUUAUGCACCCUUAUGCCACAAAUCUCUUUAUUUAUCAUACUAAAUAUGCAACCAUCCCUUAUUUUACUCCUAACUUGUUGUAUAAUUCAUUCAUGUCAGCUGCAUAUAUGUUGCAUAAAAUAAAUUGGUAAAAGUAGACAUGUGAAUUAUGCAUCUGUUAUCUCAAAUCUUACAUUUAUUUUUAUUUCUGUUAUUGUUUU